AAACAGUAAAACAUCAAAACUGCAAGCAAAUCAUUUAUUUAAUGAAAUUAUUUAGCAGUUAAUAUUGCUAACUGACAGAGACAUAUUUAUCAUUUUAGCCAACUGACAGAGACAUUUAUCAUUUUAGACAACUGACAGAGACAUAUUUAUCAUUUUAGACAACUGACAGAGACACAUUUAUCAUUUUAUCCAACUGACAGACAUUUAUCAUUUUAGCCAACUGACAGAGACAUAUUUAUCAUUUUAGACAACUGACAGAGACAUAUUUAUCAUUUUAGACAACUGACAGAGACAUAUUUAUCAUUUUAGACAACUGACAGAAACAUAUUUAUCAUUUUAGACAACUGACAGAGACAUUUAUCAUUUUAGACAACUGACAGAGACAUUUAUCAUUUUAGACAACUGACAGAGACAUUUAUCAUUUUAGACAACUGACAGAAACAUAUUUAUCAUUUUAGACAACUGACAGAGACAUAUUUAUCAUUUUAGACAACUGACAGACAUAUUUUGCACCUAUCUUUACCAAGGGUGCCAAUACUAAUCUAGAGCGUAACUUUGUGUAAAAUUGCUUAGUGCUGAUAUGAUGAACGUUGAUUGUCUGUGCUUGCCCCGCCCCCUGUGUCUGAUAGGCUGCUGCAUGAGAUUUUCCCUCGUGCAUCAGAACUCUACGAACGCGUGGCAGCGAAUCGCGAGCAGUGGACCAAAGUUUCACACAAGUUCACCAUCCGCGGUUUACCCAGCAACAACUCGCUGGACUUCCUGGAUGAGGAGUACGAGCUGAUGCAGGCGCAGGGGGCGUUCGGGACGACGGUCACCGCAUGAAUGGCUGCCUGGACGACGAGUGCAGCAAGACGGACCAAUGAACUCCUCAAAGUGCAACGUUUUCACUCUGAAACAGGUAGACGUUACGCCAUUGUGUCAUCUCCGAGAGGACGGCGUCGUAGACGGAACAAACCGGGGUGUGGUUGGACGACAGUCGAGACACUGGAGUUCCGUGGGCGGAGCUGAUAUGCUGCAGAUAAUGAUGUCAUUUCCUGCCAUUUGAACCAUUUGCGCAAGCAGAACAUUUCACUUGUGGUGGGGCCGGGGGCGGAGCCUCGUGUUUUUGUGUCGAAUAUUUCAGAUAUGUUCUUUAAUUAUUUACUUAACGUUUUGAUAGCUGAACAAAGCCUGAGUGUUUGAUUUUAUAUAUAUUUUCUGUCCUGCUGUAAACAUUAUAAACGCCAUCCAGAUGUAUAGAAGUGACGUUUAGUUGAUGAAACAGUUUACGGGAAAUGUUUCUUUGAGUAAGCAUCGCUGUAGAAAUGUCGUCAUCGCCAGCUAGAUCUUUCAUUUCACACGCAGAAUGAGUGAACAGGGAUUUUUAUUUUACUGUAAAGACAAUCAAACCGUUACAAGUCCUGUACAUCCCUUUUCCCAUCCUCAUAAGUGCGACUGCCCAUGACGAGAGAACACUCGAGAUGAGGUAAGACUGUAUUGAACGUCAUCAACACACACGUUAGUAAAACAUCCGUGUUAGUACCUUAAAGCUGAUUGUCAUGACAUUUAUCCCAGAUGUUCAAAUCUUCUUCCUAAUAGGCUGCUGAAACUUUGCCCUCAGUCCCUCAUCCUGUCACAUGACUCAGCCUCAGUUCAGGUAAGCCCAAAAAAAAAAAAAAAAAUCUGCGCUCAUUUCCCAGACCGAAAUUCCCCCCACAAGCUCCUGUUGGAACGGAGUGCAUUAUGGCUGCGUUCAUGAGAUGAGAAAUUUAACUAUUUAAUGUUUAUCAUCAUAAUAGAUCCAAAGACUGCGAGUUUAACUGUGUCCGGCGAAUUUAAGGCCACUUCAGUACAAAUCUCCUGACUUCUGAGAAUGUCGUACCAGCGGCGUUCCCACUUCUUUUUGUAAGAACAUUUUAAGGGCUACAGCGCCCUCUGAGGCACGUGAAGAGGUUUAUUUCUCAGGCGGAAAACAGAAUUAUGUAUAAAUAUGGAUUUGCCUUAUCACGUAUAUGUGUUGCCUUUUUGAGUAGAGUUAAACUAAUAUAUAUACACACACGCACACACACACACACAGUUUUAAAGCUAUACAGCUCAGCGUGUGCAGGCAUGUUAACACGGGUGUGAAAGUCAAACCCAAGGCUAAAUCCGACUCUGCUAGUAUGCUAGCUGGUGUAAAGUAAAUCUCUAAUCCAAUCGGUGUAAACUAACUAAUUAUUAAUGUUCCCUAUAAAUAAUGUUCGAAAUAUAUAGGGCUAAUUUCAUUUCUUCAUACUUGAGUUCAUUUUCAGCGAGCCCUUUAUCCCAGUCAGGGUCACCGUGGAUCCCAGAUUAAUGGAUUCAUUCCAGAUGUUUUCACAAGGGCUAUACAGAUGGGACUAGUUUUAUAUGGGAAGGCUGGGUGAUGUAAUAAUUACCAGAGCUUCUCUGUGAUUUUAAUCCCGUGUGAACUGGUCAUGUCAGCUAUUUUUCCGGACUUUCUUCCCGGACUGUGCAGGGAAGGUUACGGUGUCUUUUACCUGCUAUAAAAACCCCUGUAAAGAUAACCCAGGUUAAUCUAAUCCCGUGCGAACUGACCGAUACACAGAUUCAGGUAUGACUUGAUUGAUUGGGUUUGGAUAAACAACCAUCUUACUCUCAUUUAUUAACAAAGACUGAUUAAAAAUAAAUCAAAAUGAAUUCAGUCUAAAAAGCAGCUUAAAAAUAUGUGGGGAAAAAAGAAAAGAAACAUCUUCGACAUAAUGUAAAAAAAAAAUAAUAAUAAUGAAAUAAAAAAGAAUGAAAUCUUUUUUGAUUGUCCAGAUAAUUUAGUUGCAGAAAAUCAUGAGAAUAAAACAACGCCAGGGUGCCGAGACUUUCUCUCCUGCGCUAACAUGUCCGCCGCCUCAGCUUUCCACGCGUGACGUACUACUGAAAGCCAGUCGUAUAAACGAAUUUCCGUACACGAGCCAAAUUUCUUACAACAUGAAAAGAAAUCUGUAUAAAGAGGUAACGGUGAGUUUUAUGAGAUCCAGCUCGUUCUGUUAAACGCGACAUCAACACUGACUUGAAUUUCUAUUCCUCCAUGCUGUAGUUUAAUAUGAUCACAGCUUCAGCUCUCAUGUGCAAUAUGUCGUUCCUGUAACGUGUAAAUAACCACGUGUGCUUUUUAAAUGAUUCCUUUUUACAACAUACUGAACAUAUUUUCUGGUAUUUCUUCGUAUCUGAAGGUGGAAAUGAUUUUGUUUCCCUUUUCUGUUUGUUUGUUUUUUGCUUCUUUUUUGUCCCCCUCACUAACAGAUGAACGUUUCUCUCGUGCCGUCCCCGUCACUUUGGAAAAAACGUGACGAACGUUCCUGUAAAUAUGAACUUAAAGAAAUGUUUCUCUAUUCUAUGUAAUUACCAGAUGUUUAAAAAAGCGAGUUAUUUAUCUAUUUAAAACGGAGCGUCUGUGACGACGGUAUUGGUGGUCUUUCUUAGAUUUAGUGGCCUUCCUAAACAUUUCUGCAUCAUUCAGAUUUCAAAUAUUAAAAAAGGUCUAAAACAUGAAAUUUAUAUUAGAAGUGUAACGUUUCGGCUGCUCACGAUGAAAAAACCAAACAAAGCAAUUUUAAAAAUGAUACGAGACUAGCUUCACCUUUAGCAUGGGUUUAAAAAUAAAUCGAUGGUUUGAUCAAGAUUUCAGCUCCAGUUAGUCCCAAUAAAUGAAGAAGAAUAAUUAAAAGGAUAACAGUGAAGAGGUAAGCGAUGUUGUGGGAUUACGGUGGCGCUGGUGGUUCUGUUUGAUCUCUAUUCUGUACUGACGUGUUGGUUUUGCUGGUCGUGGCCUCGAGUGAACACUGUGUACAUAAUGUACAGCUUGGACUGUGUCUUUAAAAACACAUUUCCUGUUUCUGGAAUGGAGAAAAGGCCAGUUACAUCCGAAAUAUAUGAAUAUAAAAAAAACUGCAGUGAAUUUUUAUUCAAAUAAAUUUCCUAAAACGGCUCAAAUGUGUUUUUAUUCAAAUUCUAUAAAGUAGUGGAAAAAGCGAUUAAGCCAAAAAUAAAUACUUUUAUUUAAAAUGUUUAAGGCAUAAAAUACUCUGAAAAACAAACACGCCUCAAGCCUCAAACAGCAGGAAGUUUAAAUAAACAAAACAAAACAAACACACAAACAUCCUUACAACUUCAUCAGGAAUGGUUUUUUUUUUUUGAGGAAUGUUUAGAUUAAGUUUAAGAUUGAAGGACAAACAAACUUCACUUCAAACCUGCUCAACUUUUCAGUAAAAAGUAUUUCAGAUGUUGGUCCUACAGAUGUUUUCUUACAAUGCACCAUCUUCUAAUUUAAAAAGUCAUUAAAACAGAAGUAUAACAAUAUCAGAAGAUCUGUCCUAAACACAGAGCAGAUACCCCAAGUUAACGCAUCACUCUUACAGCAGGGUCUGUACUGAUCCUGUACACAGGGGUGCCACAGCCGCUAACCCAGCCGCUAACCCGCUAACACCAACAUCCGAGUAGGCCGAGAGAAACAAAAUGGAAAUGAAUUAGGUGUUGUACCUCAGCACGGGACGGCUCCACGCUAAACAGCAUAAUUCUCAGAUGUAUUUAGCUUGAACUGAUAUUUAAUCACAGUCUGCACCGAUGUUUCUAUUUAUGAAGUGUUAAAGCUUACUUGAUAAACUUCUAACAAAAUCAGCAUUUUAUCAUAACGGAUAGCGUUGGCGUAACAUCGAGGCCAAAGGUCUGUAAAACAUGUACCUGAGUAAUUACUCAAGUUUUAUUUCUUUGCCUUCAAAGUCCUUCUUGAUUUCUAUUGGCUCACCGGACCGGAGUAGGUGGGUUUACAGGUCAGAGUUCCCUUCGGUGCGGUCCCGAUGCAGAAGCACACGUGUUUUCACGUGUCUCCUGUAUCGCAGGGUCAAAGACCGUAAAUGUUGGCACCCCUGGGUAGGGAAUGUAACGGUCAUUUCUGUGCUCAAACUCUGUGUGGAGAUUUAAUCGUAAUUCUCUUUCACUAUAAGGAUAAUACUGAACAUUACUUUGAUUUAAUCAUCCAAUCCAACCUGCAUUCUCGUCUCGGGUUUACACAUGAUGUAUUUUUAACGUGGUUACAGGUGAACCCUGAAUCUGUUCUUCAUCAACACACACACGCAGUACAGAUUUACUCUCAUUAAAACUCCCUUACAGUAUGAUCUGGAGUAGGUUAAUCAUUUUAUCUGUAAAAACCACGUAUACAGUUUGACUCUGUUACACACUAACAGUGUCUUUACUCGGCUGAUACGAGUUCCAGGAGAAAUCCAGCUUAAGGCCUGUGUGCCACAAAAAAACAUCUUAAAUUCAUAAAGACUCAGGGAAAAAAAGCACAAUUUUUGUGGUAAAGAAAGAAAGAAACGAUGCACUGUAAUGAUUAAACAACGUUCUGACUGCUGGAGAGUAGCGCGGGUUAACUCAGUACAAUUUAUAUAUAUAUAUAUAUAUAUACACAUAAAAAGUUUAUUAGCUGCUAAACCAAUAUUCACAUUAAAUUACAACCCUGCUUCUUAAAGAUGUCUGAUUUUUUCUUUUAUUACAGUGGUGGAAAUUCGCUGUGUUUUCCCUAUGAAUAAUUAAAAAUAUAAUAGAAAUGGUUUCUCUGCGUGGAAAAUCCAGAAACUGAAAAAAAAAAAAAAAAAAUUCUUUCUUGAAUAAACAGCUUAAUAUUUGAUGAUGUUCUGCGUCCGGACAUCUGGGAACAUGUGCUGCAUUGCUCUAAUUAUUAACUUUUUUCAUUUAUUUAAGAGAACACUAAAAUUCUGAGGUACAGAAAAAAGUUCUGACCCUUAUAACGUCCAGGUAUGACAUGGUUUAUUACCAGCACCUGAGAUUGACCCGGUUACGAUUACGCAGUUCUCUUAUAUUACGAUCUUUAUUGAUUUCUUUAAAAUCUGUGGAGUUUACAGUUUAAUAAUGCAGCGUGUUCCAC
Molecule: long non-coding RNA, 5899 nt
Organism: Ictalurus punctatus (channel catfish)
Lineage: Eukaryota; Metazoa; Chordata; Actinopteri; Siluriformes; Ictaluridae
Source: Ensembl